RNAcentral lists this ribosomal RNA (433 nucleotides) under uncultured bacterium. Its description in RNAcentral is "partial 16S ribosomal RNA". It matches the Rfam family "Bacterial small subunit ribosomal RNA", at positions 29 to 507 of the family's 1533-position model. The record is from RNAcentral.
AACGAACGCUGGCGGCAUGCCUAACACAUGCGAGUCGAACUAGACCUUCAGGUCUAGUGGCGCACGGGUGCCUAACGCGUGGGAAUCUUCCCUUGGGGUCGGAAUAACAGUUGGAAACGACUGCUAAUACCGGAUGAUUACGUAAGUCCAAAGAUUUAUCGCCCAAGGAUGAGCCCGCGUAGGAUUAGCUAGUUGGUAAGGUAAAGGCUCACCAAGGCGACAAUCCUUAGAUGGUCUGAGAGGAUGGUCAGCCACACUGGGACUGAGACACGGCCCAGACUCGUCCGGGAGGCAGGAGUGGGGAAUAUUGGACCAUGGGCGAAGGCCUGAUCCAGCACUGCCGCGUGAAUGAUGAAGGCCUUAGGGUUGUAAAGCUCUUUUACCCGGGAUGAUAAUGACAGUACCGAGAGAAUAAGCUCCGGCUAACUCCGUG